UCCCUGGUGGUCCAGUGGUUAGGACUCUGCACCUCUACUGCAGGGGCACGGGUUCAAUCCCUGGUUGGGGAA
Molecule: non-coding RNA, 72 nt
Organism: Balaenoptera musculus (blue whale)
Lineage: Eukaryota; Metazoa; Chordata; Mammalia; Artiodactyla; Balaenopteridae
Source: the annotation of a RefSeq genome assembly